This 497-nucleotide ribosomal RNA is filed under the name uncultured bacterium. RNAcentral describes it as "partial 16S ribosomal RNA". It matches the Rfam family "Bacterial small subunit ribosomal RNA", at positions 28 to 507 of the family's 1533-position model. The record is from RNAcentral.
GAUGAACGCUGGCGGCGUGCCUAAUACAUGCAAGUCGAGCGAACAGACGAGGAGCUUGCUCCUCUGACGUUAGCGGCGGACGGGUGAGUAACACGUGGAUAACCUACCUAUAAGACUGGGAUAACUUCGGGAAACCGGAGCUAAUACCGGAUAAUAUAUUGAACCGCAUGGUUCAAUAGUGAAAGACGGUUUUGCUGUCACUUAUAGAUGGAUCCGCGCCGCAUUAGCUAGUUGGUAAGGUAACGGCUUACCAAGGCAACGAUGCGUAGCCGACCUGAGAGGGUGAUCCGCCCAACUGGAACUGGGGCACGGUCCCGACUCCUACGGGAGGCAGCCGUAGGGAAUCUUCCGCAAUGGGCGGAAGCCUGACGGAGCAACGCCGCGUGGGGGAUGAAGGUCUUCGGAUCGUAAAACCCUGUUAUUAGGGAAGAACAAAUUUGUAAGUAACUAUGCACGUCUUGACGGUACCUAAUCAGAAAGCCACGGCUAACUACGUG